RNAcentral lists this ribosomal RNA (253 nucleotides) under uncultured bacterium. RNAcentral's name for it is "partial 16S ribosomal RNA". It matches the Rfam family "Bacterial small subunit ribosomal RNA", at positions 524 to 776 of the family's 1533-position model. The record is from RNAcentral.
UACGAAGGGUGCAAGCGUUACUCGGAAUUACUGGGCGUAAAGCGUGCGCAGGCGGUGAUGUAAGACAGGUGUGAAAUCCCCGGGCUUAACCUGGGAACUGCAUUUGUGACUGCAUUGCUGGAGUGCGGCAGAGGGGGAUGGAAUUCCGCGUGUAGCAGUGAAAUGCGUAGAUAUGCGGAGGAACACCGAUGGCGAAGGCAAUCCCCUGGGCCUGCACUGACGCUCAUGCACGAAAGCGUGGGGAGCAAACAGG